CUGAUUACUCUUUGUAAUUGUUUAGCACCUGUGACUUAGAGGUAAACAUGAAGGGAGUUCUGGCAGAAAUUGUUGGAGCUUCCUCUCAAUGUUCAAUGGCUUGCUGAACUUGUUCAACAAGCUUGUGAGCUAUUGGCUCCUCACCGACUAUGUCGUGUACAAGACUUAAAUGCGAACCCUACACUCCCAUUUGAAGAUAAUUCUUUUAACAUCAUCAAUAAUGUGGUUAGUGUUGAUUACCUAACAAAGCCUCUUGCAGGAACCCUAACCUACAUCGGGAGAGUCAUAAGCGCAAUUUCAGAUUUGGUGUUAUUGUGAAUUGGAGCUCGAAGGCUUUACCAUUUUGUUCAAUCUGACAUUGCCGCCAUUGCUACUUGCAUAGAGCUAUUUUCAAUUUAGCUUUAUGUCUAAUUUGUUUUGAAUGAUUGUAUCGUAAUCAGAUAUCUGAUGGUAGGGGUGCUAUGCAGGAUAUGUUUUAAAGGAAAAACUUGGUUGGUUGGUUUUGAUAUUUGAGAUGAUGAUGUAAAUGCAAUUGAUUGUAUUUUUAUUAAUUAAUUUAGCACUGAUACUACAUAGUUUUCUGGAACAACUCUGAGUAAAGCUGGAAAAAAAAAGUGAUAUUAAACCAUAGAAAAAAAAUAUAGUGAUAUUAAAGGGAUGUUUUUGCUACUCUGUUUCAACGUCUGAAAGUGCUUUUAGUACUGGUGGUAGAGUCUUAGAUAUAUUUAGAACUUGUCUAAAUCCUGAUAUGUCUGAGACAUUAAUUUGUACUCAAAAUUGGUUGAGGUAUUCUCUCUAUGAAUUUAAAGACUUCAAUAUCCUUGAGGACUUUGAUACAUCUGAAAACAUUGUUACAGGUAUUAAAAUUAUGUAGAAUGUUAUUAUUUCUGUGUUGAAUUCUAUACAGUUGGAGGAGCUGGUCCAUCUGCCACUGCAUUAGCAGUUGGUCCAUCUUCACAAUCACAGCCUGCUGUUUGUAUUUGAGAAGUUUAUGUGUCUGUUCUUUUAUCUAAAUUUUGGUACUUUAAAUUUAAAUUUUUUUUUAAAUUAGUCAGCUAAUAGUAUGGUAUUUUCAAUUGCAGGUUGAAUAAGUUUUUUGAAUUUUUUGGAGUCAUUGCUAAGUCAUGACUCAGGAACCUGCUUGUUUUUUUGGAAAAACUUGAUUUUGGAUCUUUGAUUUUGCUUGUUUUUUGAAUUUGGACUUGAAACUCUGAAUAGAAUAGAACCAACAAUAAGAUUAAUAUUAUAAAUCUGAUUUAUAUUGUAUUUAAAUUAAGUUAUUAAGGGAUAUAACAAAUCUGACUUGUACCAACUGACUGCUUGUUUUGGUCAGUUGCUUGUUGCUGCUAUCCAUUGUUGUCUCAGUCAAUAUGAUAUGAUGCUUCUUUUAACUCAUCGUCCUUCACAGUUCCUUAGCAUCGCAUGCAGUUCUCGCUAUCGUUCAAGCCCUCGGUUUGGAUCACGCUCUCACGGUGUUCAUUUUACAAAGAAAUUGUUGUGAGUCUCCCUCAGCUCCAUUUCUAGUCUCUAUAAUUCAAUUAAGCUACUGUUAUCGCAGCAUCCAUUUAAUUUUAAAGCUAAUCAAUGAUUUUUAAUUCAGCCACCACUGUAGAGAUUAAAUCAACUUUGACGCCCUAUCAAAACAAACACAAUUUCUAACAAGAGCUAAAAGCAAUAAUCAAAUAUAUAAUGAUUUUUAAGUUCAUGCUUUGAAUGAAUCGUUGCAUAAAUAGGAACAAGAAAAGUUGUUGAUGAAACAACAAUUGAAAUGACAAGAAAAAGAGAUGGUCGAGGCCAACAAAAAUUUAACCAUUCUUAGGAUUUGUUGGAUCUUCUUUUUAUCCAAGUUCAUCACCACACCCAACAAUGAAACUGAUGAAGAUAGUGGGAAUGAUGAUAUUGGUAGUGAUCAUAUUGAGUAGUAUUUUUUUAUUUUUUAUUUUGUUAAUUUGGUUGUAUCAUGUACAUGAUUAUAUUUAGUUUUUUUUUUUUUGAUCACGCUUUAAUUAAUACUUAGUUAUGAUUUACAAACAUAAUAUAAAUUUUGUUUAGAAGUAUCGCAAUA
Molecule: long non-coding RNA, 2065 nt
Organism: Cicer arietinum (chickpea)
Lineage: Eukaryota; Viridiplantae; Streptophyta; Magnoliopsida; Fabales; Fabaceae
Source: RefSeq, a predicted model, not a curated record